Molecule: ribosomal RNA, 492 nt
Filed under: uncultured bacterium
Lineage: Bacteria
Description: partial 16S ribosomal RNA
Rfam family: Bacterial small subunit ribosomal RNA
Source: RNAcentral
AGUGAACGCUGGCGGUAGGCCUAACACAUGCAAGUCGAACGGCAGCACAGUAAGAGCUUGCUCUUACGGGUGGCGAGUGGCGGACGGGUGAGGAAUACAUCGGAAUCUACUUUUUCGUGGGGGAUAACGUAGGGAAACUUACGCUAAUACCGCAUACGACCUACGGGUGAAAGCAGGGGAUCUUCGGACCUUGCGCGAUUGAAUGAGCCGAUGUCGGAUUAGCUAGUUGGCGGGGUAAAGGCCCACCAAGGCGACGAUCCGUAGCUGGUCUGAGAGGAUGAUCAGCCACACUGGAACUGAGACACGGUCCGGACUCCUACGGGGGGCAGCAGUGGGGAAUAUUGGACAAUGGACGCAAGCCUGAUCCAGCCAUGCCGCGUGGGUGAAGAAGGCCUUCGGGUUGUAAAGCCCUUUUGUUGGGAAAGAAAAGCAGCAGGUUAAUACCCCGCUGUUCUGACGGUACCCAAAGAAUAAGCACCGGCUAACUUCGUG